UGGGGUGUGGCCAAGCGGUACGGCAGCUGGUUUUGGUCCAGAAGAUCGGGGGUUCGAAUCCCUCCACCCCAGCCA
This 75-nucleotide transfer RNA is filed under the name bacterium DOLZORAL124_38_8. RNAcentral describes it as "tRNA-Gln". It matches the Rfam family "tRNA". Rfam says of the family: Transfer RNA (tRNA) molecules are approximately 80 nucleotides in length. The record is from RNAcentral.